CCUGCCUCUGCCUCCCGAGUGCUGGGAUUAAAGGCGUGCGCUACCACCGCCCGGCUGUAUUUUGGAUCUUUUAAACAAAUCUAUAUACUGUAUUUUGAUAUUUAAAUGUUUUUAGAAAAGUUGUAAAAAUAGUACAAAGAUGCCUGUCGCUUCUACCUCUUUAACAACAUUUUACCAUGUCUGCUUUCUUUAGACAUGUUGAUCCUUGUUUUGUCUGUGAUUGAACCUAGGGCUCAAGCAUGUGAGGAAAGCACACCACUGAACUACAAGCUAAACUUUAUAAAGGCUCAACAAUUUCAGUUCACUUUAUGGGGCCUUGUCUGAACCAAUUAACUUCAAAUAUGACGAACAGAAUAAAACAGGCUGUUGGAGAAAGCUCAUACUGAGAUGAUCAUGAAAUGGGGGAAAUUACCAUGAAACUCUUUUCAUUUUGUAUAAUUCCCAAUAAAACCCAGAUAGGAGCUGGCAGUGGUGGAGAUGCUCAACAACAACAUGCUUGCCACACACCCAUCUGGACCUGAGUUCAAUCCUCCCAGACCCACAUUUAAAAAGCCAAGAGCACCUAUCACCCAGUGCAGACAGGAGCAGCCAUGAAACCUGCUCACCAGCAGUCCAGACAAAUCUGGGUGAGCAACUGAUGCCGAUCACUGGCUACGAACAGCACAAAGAGAACUUGUGUAGAUGACCACUCAAGUGACAGUGACAAACUCUACAAUAACUGAGAGUUUAGAGUAAUAAAAUCGAUUACAACUGUGCAACCAUAAAAGUUAAUGAUUUCAUUAAAUAGCUCUGGAAUGCUAUUUUGUUUUUAAUUCUUCCACUGGAAAAAUGUUUUGUGUGAUUAACAUAUUCAAAGCACCAUACAAAAGGCUGUGCUAUCAUGUCAAAACAAAUGUUUUAUUUUUACAAAAUAAAAUUUUCUAUUUUGCUAAGAUAA
Peromyscus leucopus (white-footed mouse) is the source of this 937-nucleotide long non-coding RNA. RefSeq lists it as uncharacterized. The record is from RefSeq and is a predicted model, not a curated record. The transcript is spliced from 2 exons. Lineage: Eukaryota; Metazoa; Chordata; Mammalia; Rodentia; Cricetidae.